GAUAAGAUUUUAUUAAAUGAGAUCCAGGUGAUAAGGUGGCCAGGUGUUACCUUAGUUGGUUAUUGGCUAAUGGUUACACAAGCCAAACAAUUGUUAUGACAUCAUAAAGUGGUCAAAAU
This is a long non-coding RNA of Notothenia coriiceps (black rockcod), 119 nucleotides long. RefSeq lists it as uncharacterized. The record is from RefSeq and is a predicted model, not a curated record. The transcript has 3 exons. NCBI's taxonomy places the organism in Eukaryota, Metazoa, Chordata, Actinopteri, Perciformes, Nototheniidae.